UGCAGUCGAGCGGACAGAUGGGAGCUUGCUCCCUGAUGUUAGCGGCGGACGGGUGAGUAACACGUGGGUAACCUGCCUGUAAGACUGGGAUAACUCCGGGAAACCGGGGCUAAUACCGGAUGCUUGUUUGAACCGCAUGGUUCAAACAUAAAAGGUGGCUUCGGCUACCACUUACAGAUGGACCCGCGGCGCAUUAGCUAGUUGGUGAGGUAACGGCUCACCAAGGCAACGAUGCGUAGCCGACCUGAGAGGGUGAUCGGCCACACUGGGACUGAGACACGGCCCAGACUCCUACGGGAGGCAGCAGUAGGGAAUCUUCCGCAAUGGACGAAAGUCUGACGGAGCAACGCCGCGUGAGUGAUGAAGGUUUUCGGAUCGUAAAGCUCUGUUGUUAGGGAAGAACAAGUACCGUUCGAAUAGGGCGGUACCUUGACGGUACCUAACCAGAAAGCCACGGCUAACUACGUGCCAGCAGCCGCGGUAAUACGUAGGUGGCAAGCGUUGUCCGGAAUUAUUGGGCGUAAAGGGCUCGCAGGCGGUUCCUUAAGUCUGAUGUGAAAGCCCCCGGCUCAACCGGGGAGGGUCAUUGGAAACUGGGGAACUUGAGUGCAGAAGAGGAGAGUGGAAUUCCACGUGUAGCGGUGAAAUGCGUAGAGAUGUGGAGGAACACCAGUGGCGAAGGCGACUCUCUGGUCUGUAACUGACGCUGAGGAGCGAAAGCGUGGGGAGCGAACAGGAUUAGAUACCCUGGUAGUCCACGCCGUAAACGAUGAGUGCUAAGUGUUAGGGGGUUUCCGCCCCUUAGUGCUGCAGCUAACGCAUUAAGCACUCCGCCUGGGGAGUACGGUCGCAAGACUGAAACUCAAAGGAAUUGACGGGGGCCCGCACAAGCGGUGGAGCAUGUGGUUUAAUUCGAAGCAACGCGAAGAACCUUACCAGGUCUUGACAUCCUCUGACAAUCCUAGAGAUAGGACGUCCCCUUCGGGGGCAGAGUGACAGGUGGUGCAUGGUUGUCGUCAGCUCGUGUCGUGAGAUGUUGGGUUAAGUCCCGCAACGAGCGCAACCCUUGAUCUUAGUUGCCAGCAUUCAGUUGGGCACUCUAAGGUGACUGCCGGUGACAAACCGGAGGAAGGUGGGGAUGACGUCAAAUCAUCAUGCCCCUUAUGACCUGGGCUACACACGUGCUACAAUGGACAGAACAAAGGGCAGCGAAACCGCGAGGUUAAGCCAAUCCCACAAAUCUGUUCUCAGUUCGGAUCGCAGUCUGCAACUCGACUGCGUGAAGCNGGAAUCGCUAGUAAUCG
RNAcentral lists this ribosomal RNA (1304 nucleotides) under Bacillus sp. (in: firmicutes). RNAcentral describes it as "bacterial SSU rRNA". It matches the Rfam family "Bacterial small subunit ribosomal RNA", at positions 56 to 1344 of the family's 1533-position model. Lineage: Bacteria; Bacillati; Bacillota; Bacilli; Caryophanales; Bacillaceae. The record is from RNAcentral.